This is a long non-coding RNA of Anopheles gambiae (African malaria mosquito), 2529 nucleotides long. RefSeq lists it as uncharacterized. The record is from RefSeq and is a predicted model, not a curated record. The transcript is spliced from 3 exons. Lineage: Eukaryota; Metazoa; Arthropoda; Insecta; Diptera; Culicidae.
AGCUCGGGACCGGACGGUUGCCGGUUAAUCGAUUUGCACGGAUAAUGGUCCAAGAUAUGUCAAACGCAUAUAAAACAUAUGAAAUUCACUAGUGUUAUUAUUAAUUCACCUAGAAUCAAUCGAUUAAUCGUUAGUAGAAUAUUAUUUUAAUCAAUAACUGCAGGUUUAACAACUGUUCAUGAACAAAAAUGAAUUUCGAAAAUACCCCUAGACCUAGACAGAGCUGCACAAGAAACUGGUUACCCAAUUGAUUAUCGCUGCAAAUGUUCGCCGUACGUAUGAACAGCUGUCAGAUUUAUGCGCACGGUUAAACCGCCCGCCGGUUAAUCCGUCCAAGGAUAAUCGACGUUCUACUGUAUUGCUAUUUUCAAUAAUACACAUCAAUAUAAAAUUUGCACUAUACAAGACUAUACACAUUUAUUAAAAUUAUGAUCAAAGCGUGAUAUGUUUUGUAAAUUAUCGAGUGAUGUUAUUUUACUUCAAUUUAUGCUUUGUUAUGGAAGAGUAAUAACAUUCAACUCAACUAGCGUUUAUAAACAUUCGCGAGUGAAAUCAUUUUCUGUCAAUUCGGAUGGGUGGGAAACAACUACAACAACAAUUUUCCACAACCAAACGCAUUCCGAAAAUAUCGCUUCAAAAGAGGUUUCAUGCUGUCGUGGCUGUGCUGUUCCAAAAACAUAAUAGUGCUAAUUCGUGAAUUUUAUUGCACACAGUGUUUCAAUAUAACCGAAAUCAUUGGAUGCUGUUUGUGAAGAUCGAUUGUGUUAUCAUUUUACAAGCAAAACUCAUAUAUUAUUACGGACAUGGAGCCCAAUACAAGUGCAGCUGCAUGACGUGUUGUAAAAACCACAUCCGAUAGCGACAGGAAGCGGGUCAUAACGGCGUAUGAAAAUGGCACAGCUCCAUCAGCAAUAAUCACUCUCAUUCCAAACGUCACUGUGACUGGUCGAAGAUUCUCUGCGCUCCGAUUAUUUUCAAUAUUACUCCGAGAAAACCUGUAUCUUUGCUGAACCUGUUGCUGUUGUAGGUCACUUCAUUGGCUGGUUUUGUUUAACAACUGGAUUAUUCACCGUCAAUCACCUGGAAACGUUUUUCCGGCCCACAAUCAUUACGUCGCUUCAACAUCACAAUCAAUCGCUCAUCCACAAAGCAAUGGCUGGUAUUUGUUCCGCCUGCGCUAACGACAUCGUAGCUGCUGAUCGCAUUGUGAAAUGCCAGGGUUGGUGCAACUCUGAGUUUCACUUCUCAUGCAGCGGACUUUCUGAGGAACUGUCCGCUACUAUAGAGUGCCUGUGCACAGCUUUUUUGGGCCUGUAAAGCCUGUGUAAAGUUUCACAAGGAUCCGCGUACGGCCGUGUUGAGGUCAUACACCCCGUACACUCACACUUCUGUCGAGCUACUGCCCAGCAUAGCCGACCUUAAAGCGGGCCUCCGUAGCGAGCUGUCACAGCAUACCACAGCCAUUAAGUUAGAGCUUCUGGAAGUUUUAAAGGCGGAGAUCCGCUCCUGCUUGCGAUCAUCGCAUGCCGCCACCGAUUUACCGUCUCAACGGCCCAUUCAUCACAAUUCAGCGCCUAAAUUGUUUAAUUCAGUGGUCAAAAAUAUCCCUGGUACUAUUACACCCACACUACAACAGUAUCCAUCAUUAGCCGCUUCUCUUAGUGUGAGUGCGAACGAUCCGUCAUCCUUCACCAAUAUGCCACCAGUUUACAACCCGCAAACACCACUACUCAGAGGAUCGGGAUCGCCGCUCGAUUCUGACACACUAGACACCAUCCCACACACUGAUACGCGAAUGUGACUAUUCUUUACGCGUUUCUCCCCAUCGGUUACCACUGAGCAGAUUUAUCUCAUGGUGCAAGUACGUCUAGCACUCGAUAAGCGGGAUGUGUUUGUACACCGUCUGACGAAGCUUGGUGCCGACACUAGUACACUCUCAUUUAUCUCAUUUAAGGUGGGCAUACCAGCCACUCUACGCAACAAGGCUCUCUCACCUAAGACAUGGCCCUCUACUCUUUCCUACCGAGAGUUCCGUGACUAUCGGACUAAUAAUUAUAACACUAAUACCUGUGCAACAAUUGAAACAAAUUCGAUGCUCGAUCAAAACGUUACUCUCGCUACCGACACUUAUCAUAAUCCUCUCUCACAUUCUGGAGGGAGUGCCGCGAUGCCAACUACUACAACAGAUACUACAACAACAAGUACAACAGAUACGCUCGCACAGCCCGUUACGAUUUCCUCACCUGCCAUGACCACUACAGUCACAGCUUUGUUUACAAACGAACCACAUCCUGACCUUAAUGAGCGAAUGCUUGUUUCCACCACACCUACCAGGUCACCUCCCGAAUGCUUAGCCGCUCCUAAAAAACGACCGAAGCGAAACGCUAAACGGACUGAUGAAUCUGCUGACGCUGGCCCGUCGAAUGAAUAGCAAUCUUGCACUGCAUCCGGCGAUGCACCUCGUUCAGCUCAUCCCAGUCUCUCUAUCUACUACCAAAAUGUGCGUGGUCUACGAACGAAAACUACAAA